AUGCACGCUAGCUACAGGCUUCACACAUGCAAGUCGCGGGGCAGCAUGGGGGUUGCUUGCACUCCCCGAUGGCGACCGGCGCACGGGUGAGUAACGCGUAUCCAACCUGCCCUUCACCACGGGAUAACCCGGCGAAAGUCGGACUAAUACCGUAUGUUGUCCAUUGACGGCAUCCGAUUUGGACGAAAGGUUUGGCGGUGAAGGAUGGGGAUGCGUCCGAUUAGCUGGACGGCGGGGUGACGGCCCACCGUGGCGACGAUCGGUAGGGGUUCUGAGAGGAAGGUCCCCCACACUGGAACUGAGACACGGUCCAGACUCCUACGGGAGGCAGCAGUGAGGAAUAUUGGUCAAUGGGCGUAAGCCUGAACCAGCCAAGUAGCGUGCAGGAUGACGGCCCUAUGGGUUGUAAACUGCUUUUAUGCGGGGAUAAAGUGGCCCACGUGUGGGUUUUUGCAGGUACCGCAUGAAUAAGGACCGGCUAAUUCCGUG
This 489-nucleotide ribosomal RNA is filed under the name uncultured bacterium. RNAcentral's name for it is "partial 16S ribosomal RNA". It matches the Rfam family "Bacterial small subunit ribosomal RNA", at positions 29 to 507 of the family's 1533-position model. The record is from RNAcentral.